UACGUAGGGUGCGAGCGUUGUCCGGAAUUACUGGGCGUAAAGAGCUCGUAGGUGGUUUGUCGCGUUGUUCGUGAAAACUCACAGCUCAACUGUGGGCGUGCGGGCGAUACGGGCAGACUGGAGUACUGCAGGGGAGACUGGAAUUCCUGGUGUAGCGGUGGAAUCGCGCAGAUAUCAGGAGGAACACCGGUGGCGAAGGCGGGUCUCUGGGCCGAUACUGACGCUGAGGAGCGAAAGCGUGGGGGAGCGAACAGG
Molecule: ribosomal RNA, 255 nt
Filed under: uncultured bacterium
Lineage: Bacteria
Description: partial 16S ribosomal RNA
Rfam family: Bacterial small subunit ribosomal RNA
Source: RNAcentral